CGCGGCCUAUCAGCUUGUUGGUGAGGUAAUGGCUUACCAAGGCUUCGACGGGUAACCGGCCUGAGAGGGGACCGGUCACACUGGGACUGAGACACGGCCCAGACUCCUACGGGAGGCAGCAGUGGGGAAUAUUGCACAAUGGGCGAAAGCCUGAUGCAGCGACGCCGCGUGAGGGAUGACGGCCUUCGGGUUGUAAACCUCUUUCAGUCAGGAACAAGCCUUCGGGUGAGGGUACUGGCUGAAGAAGCACCGGCUAACUACGUGCCAGCAGCCGCGGUAAUACGUAGGGUGCGAGCGUUAUCCGGAAUUAUUGGGCGUAAAGAGCUUGUAGGCGGUUUGUCGCGUCUUGUGAAAGCCCAGGGCUUAACUCCGGGUCUGCAGUGGGUACGGGCAGGCUAGAGUGAUGUAGGGGUAACUGGAAUUCCUGGGUGUAGCGGUGGAAUGCGCAGAUAUCAGGAAGAACACCGAUGGCGAAGGCAGGUUUACUGGGCAUUUACUGACGCUGAGAAGCGAAAGCAUGGGGAGCGAACAGGGAUUAGAUACCCCUGGGUAGUCCAUGCCGUAAACGUUGGGCACUAGGGUGUGGGGAAGCAUUCCCACGUUUUCCGCGCCGUAACCUAAAGCAAUAAAGUGGCCCCGCCCUGGGGAGUACGG
Molecule: ribosomal RNA, 654 nt
Filed under: uncultured Actinomycetes bacterium
Lineage: Bacteria; Bacillati; Actinomycetota; Actinomycetes
Description: bacterial SSU rRNA
Rfam family: Bacterial small subunit ribosomal RNA
Source: RNAcentral